This 252-nucleotide ribosomal RNA is filed under the name uncultured bacterium. RNAcentral describes it as "partial 16S ribosomal RNA". It matches the Rfam family "Bacterial small subunit ribosomal RNA", at positions 524 to 776 of the family's 1533-position model. The record is from RNAcentral.
UACGUAGGGGGCAAGCGUUGUCCGGAAUCAUUGGGCGUAAAGCGCGUGUAGGCGGCUCGAUAAGUCUGCUGUAAAAGUCCAGGGCUCAACCCUGGAAAGCCGGUGGAAACUGUCGAGCUAGAGUCCGGAAGAGGCGAGUGGAAUUCCUGGUGUAGCGGUGAAAUGCGCAGAUAUCAGGAAGAACACCCGUGGCGAAGGCGCUCUCUGGAACGCAACUGACGCUGAGACGCGAAAGCGUGGGGAGCAAACAGG